UUUUUUUAUUUUGCUUUUGGUUGGUACUUUUGGCAUAAAUUAUAAUAUCAGUGCCAAAAGUACCAUCCAAACCCUCGCACCCAACCCGACCCGGUCCGUCCAAAUUAAGAGCAAUAUAGUUCGAAAUUGCAAAAAAUUGUCAAAUUUUAUUUUUUUAAAGAUGAAUAACUAAAUAUUGAGUUCCAUUGUUUAAUAUAUGGUCAUCUCAAAAGUUGGCUCAUAUAUUAAUGUCUUAUGUGUGCAUUUUACCCAGAACUAAGGAGAUUAAGCACCAGAUCAUUGACAUACACAUAUAAAUUAAACUAGCUAACUAGAAAACCCAAUUUCAAACUUCGAAUACAUAGACUGUAUGUAUACACUCCAAGGGUGCCAAUUGUUUGGAACUCAUGAUGCAACAAGGGCUUGAUAUAUAAACCUAAACAAGGAAGGCGAAAGCAUAAACAAAUUAAGGAAUGAUCCAGAUAUACUAAAUUACACAGAGAUAGCCUUAAUUUUAUAAAAUAUUCAACUACCAUAAAAUUUAAGUUUCAACACCCUUAAAUACUAAUAAUACGUAAAACCCUAACUUGAGAAUCCUGAAAUAAUUAACUAAGCACUUGUUAAUUAAUAGCAUAAAAUAAUAAAAGAUCCUAAUCGAUAUAAACUAAAAAUAAUUUUAAAAAAUAUGAAAAUGGAAACAACUUAACUACAAGGAUAUCAUAUGCAAGUGUAUCUCCAUUCACACUAUCAUAGUUUCUGAGAUUUAUGAUCAGUAGAAAGUGCAGGCCUUCUGCCGCCAAGAAAUGAGUUUAUAGAUUCUAAGGGAAUAUUAUUGUUGAGAAACUUUAAUUUAUUCAGCACAUGGUAACCAAACAAAAAUCAAACAUAAUGAUUCAUAGAGGAGACAACAAUUAAUCUUUAAUUAUUAAUUAAAUUGUGCGAUGAAAUCAAUUAACUAAAGGUCCUCCACAAUUGCUAAACAUGCAGAUCGAAAUAUAUAAUAUUUGAUCAAACUUGAUUAUUGAAGAGCGAUAGAAUAUGAAAUGCUAUAAAUAUACUUAAUUAAUGUGAUCUCCUUUGGAAUGAUAGAUAUAAAUUCGAUAUACCAAACAGAAAGAAUAAGAAGUGAAAAGUGACGUCUAAGGUUCAAACCUCAUCGCUCCCUCUCCCACUCCACCAAUAAAAAGUGAACAAUUUAUUUGAAAAACUAUAGACUUAAUUGCUUUUAUAGCGUCUCUGCUUUACUACCCAAGUUCAGUGAAAAAAGAAGAAAAAAGGAAGACAGAGAGGGGGAGAGAGAGACCUUAAUUGGAUCCCAUAAGUAAGGAGUCUUGUUGCGUAGCCUCCCAUAAGUAAGGAGUCUUGGAAGAAAACGAUUCCUGAUUGAAGGAAUAGUGCUGAAUCCCUCUUAAUAAACAUUUCAAAAUAUUUGCAAGUAUACAAAAUGCACCUUUGAUUGAGUAGUGCAAAACAACAAUUGCUAAAAUCACAGAGUAGUGUUUUUGCUGCCUUUCACUAAGAGUGCGUUCUCUUUGAGGGAAAAUGAUGGAAAACAUAUAUUUUCAUCCUUUUUCCAUCAUUUUCACAUUUUCACUCCAAUUUAUGAUAAUAUUAUAUCAUCGGGAUUGAUUGAUGUAAUAAUAUUUUCCUCGGGGUAUUGAUGUGAUAAACUAUGUUUUCCACCUUAAAGAACAUGAGAUAAAAAAGAAAUGGGAAAAAUCUGUAUUCCUUAUUUUCUAAUAAUAAAAUUUACAACCAAAGAGAACACGUCCUAAAAAUUUACUCUAAGUUUCUCAGAAAGUAACACACACAGACCUAAUUAGUAAAUAACAAAGGCUUAAACCUUACAACCUGGGCCAGUUCGAAGCCGUGCUCUCAUAGCUCGGUUUAAGUCCGACCGACAUCGAAGGGGAAUGUAAAAACAAAACAAAAAACUUUGUACCUGGCAUUAAAAUUUAGUAAUCAGAAUCUCUACGAUAAUAUGAAGGUCGGAAUUAUACCUGGAAAUAGAGCAACAUAAACAUCAUCUCAUACCUGUACAUAGGUGGCAAAAAUAAACUAAAAUAGGGUAAUUUUGAGUUGUUGAAAGGCAAUUUAUGUUUUGUGUUUGUAAUUUAGGGGGAAGUAGUUGAUAGAGGAUUUGUGAGUGUGAUGACAGAAGUAUAGAGAGUACAAAGGAGUGAGAUGCAAAGUUUGCAACUUCAUCGUUGGUGCUCUCUAUCUUCUGUCAACAACAGCAAAACCCCCUACCUACCACCAAACAUAACUUAAUGUUUCUCAACUUAUUUCAAGAAUUUCAGACUAAGAAAUGCAAUAUCUUGAUUCAAAAUCUGGGAUAUAUAUAUAUAAUGGAAAUGAGAAGAAGUGAGAGAAAAGGGUGAAGAAAAAACGAGGUGAUGACAGAAGAAUAGAGAGCACAAAGAUUGAUAUACAAAACUCUUGUAUGUUCAUCAUCUGUGCUCUCUAUCUUCUGUCAACUCAUCACCAAUAUCGCUUCACCCCUCUCUUCACACGCAUACAAUGUUUAUAACACUGCAAAAACAAAUUAAUUAAACAGUUUCUACUUACACAAAACAAGGAAAGAGAGAGAUCUAGAGAGAGGUAGUUUUGAGAGUAGGAUUGUAUGAUCCAAGGCCUUCUCCAGUACCUCUAUUUAUAGUGAACGAGAUCUAGUGUUGCCUUUUAUUAGCAUUUCUAUACUCGUUAAACAUGAUUACCAAUAUGAUGAGGCGAAUUUGGUGAUUAAGAUUGGAAAAGGGGGGGAUUUGAACAAGAGUUACGUUAGUGGGCUAGCUUGACGAAUAUUGUAAAAUUGAAUCUGUAUUGAAUUUGAAAUUCUCAGCGGUAGAUUUGAGAAUAAGAACCUUCAUUUUCUUUGCAGCUGGAAGGUUGUGAUUGAUCGACCACAAUUCACGUACUACAUAUUCCACCACACCGAUCUAAUUAUCAUUACUCCAAUUUUACUCAUUCUUCAUUUAUAU
RNAcentral lists this long non-coding RNA (2960 nucleotides) under Salvia miltiorrhiza (redroot sage). Its description in RNAcentral is "long non-coding RNA (SMIL_LNC007255)". The record is from RNAcentral. Lineage: Eukaryota; Viridiplantae; Streptophyta; Magnoliopsida; Lamiales; Lamiaceae.